UUUUCCGUGCCGGUGCUCUAACCAACUGAGCUAACCGUUCGAGUACUGCCUCGUUAUAAAAUUCUGUUUGCUUUGUUCAACUCUCAGGUUGUGGCUUCAUCUACAGGAUCUACUUUACAGUUGAUAACCUGCUCAACCCCAGUAUUUGCAUAUUAGGAAAUUGACUUGAGAUGUCGCUCUUGUAACAAUAUGUUAUGGUUACGCCGGAGGUCGUGGGUUCAAAUCCCGCAUAGUUCAUAAAGUUUUGUUUUUCAUUUUUAGUUUCAAUUUUAUUUGUGUAUUAAUUUUUCAGUUUCAAUUUUAUUUGUGUAUUAAUCCUAGAAGUGAGGGUUGACACUUUAAAAACAUAACAUAUUGUUGUUAUUGUAUGUUUAUUCUAUAGCAUUACAAUACAUACUAAAAAAAGAAUAUUGAUAUAUAUAGAAUUAUAUUUAAAAACAAACAACUUUAACAAAUAAUAAAGCUAACCAGAAUUUAUCUACAUAUAUAUUUAUACUUUAGUCAUUAAAGUUUCCUAACAUGUUGGAAUAAAUGUUUAUUGAAAA
This is a long non-coding RNA of Leptidea sinapis, 545 nucleotides long. RefSeq lists it as uncharacterized. The record is from RefSeq and is a predicted model, not a curated record. The transcript is spliced from 2 exons. NCBI's taxonomy places the organism in Eukaryota, Metazoa, Arthropoda, Insecta, Lepidoptera, Pieridae.